AUGGUGGGACAGCUACCAGUGCGUAUGGUGGAUUGUGGCACUGAGUAUACAAAACUGGGACAUGUUGCAAAUACAGAACAAUAGUUUAUUAUCCCUUGAUGUAUUGCUUUCAAGAAUUCAGCAAAAGUGGGCAAUUAGGCUCAAAAGAGGGUGAUAAAGAAAGCCAAUGUCAUAGACUUCUUCAUUGGGGAUGAUGUAACAGGAAAAGCCACAUAUACCAUGAAGUGGUGAACCCACCAUGGUUUAGUUGAAGACUGUUGACAGAAAGGUUUGGAGCAAGUAAUCUUUAAAUACUUAAAGCAGAACAUGUGGGUCAUUACUUUCUUUUCACCAAACGUCCACUGAAUGCUCCAGAAAACAGAAUAUGCUACCGAAAUAGUGUUUGAGUUCUUCAAUAUUCCAGGCUCAUACAUAGCCAUACAGGCUGUUCUUGCAUUAGCAGCAUCCUGAGCAUCAAAACAAAUAAGAAAACAGGCAUUGACUGGUAUGGGAAGAGAUAGUAAAGAUGGUGGCACUCCUGUCCCACCUCCAACUGAAGGAUAUGGGGUUGGCAACUGCCAUCCCACCUCCAGCUGAAGGAUAUGGGGUUGGCAACUGCCAUAAGCACAUUCCAAUCAUAGGGCAAGCAUCACAUAUUUCAUUCAGCAACUGUUCAGAGGCUGAGAAGUAGAAAUUCCUUCAGAGCAAUCCCUAGAAACAGCUACUGCAGUAAAGGAGUGCUACAGUUAUGUCUGCCCAGAUUUAGUAAAAGAAUUUAACAAGUAUGACACAGAUGGGCCAAGUGGAUUAAACAGUAUAAUGGAAUCAGGGCAAUCUCAAAGAAAGAAUUUUCCAUUGACAUUAGUUAUGAGAGAUCUUUGUGACUUGAAAUCUUUUUUCACCCAGAAUUUGCU
This 893-nucleotide long non-coding RNA is filed under the name Homo sapiens (human). RNAcentral's name for it is "non-protein coding lnc-TRMT10C-5:1". Lineage: Eukaryota; Metazoa; Chordata; Mammalia; Primates; Hominidae. The record is from RNAcentral.